This 492-nucleotide ribosomal RNA is filed under the name uncultured bacterium. Its description in RNAcentral is "partial 16S ribosomal RNA". It matches the Rfam family "Bacterial small subunit ribosomal RNA", at positions 29 to 507 of the family's 1533-position model. The record is from RNAcentral.
AGUGAACGCUGGCGGUAGGCCUAACACAUGCAAGUCGAACGGCAGCACAGUAAGAGCUUGCUCUUACGGGUGGCGAGUGGCGGACGGGUGAGGAAUACAUCUGAAUCUACUUUUUCGUGGGGGAUAACGUAGGGAAACUUAUGCUAAUACCGCAUACGACCUACGGGUGAAAGCAGGGGAUCUUCGGACCUUGCGCGAUUGAAUGAGCCGAUGUCGGAUUAGCUAGUUGGCGGGGUAAAGGCCCACCAAGGCGACGAUCCGUAGCUGGUCUGAGAGGAUGAUCAGCCACACUGGAACUGAGACACGGUCCAGACUCCUACGGGAGGCAGCAGUGGGGAAUAUUGGACAAUGGGCGCAAGCCUGAUCCAGCCAUACCGCGUGGGUGAAGAAGGCCUUCGGGUUGUAAAGCCCUUUUGUUGGGAAAGAAAAGCAGCAGGUUAAUACCCCGCUGUUCUGACGGUACCCAAAGAAUAAGCACCGGCUAACUUCGUG